UGGAUNCAUGAGGUAGCAAAUACGAUGA
RNAcentral lists this non-coding RNA (28 nucleotides) under Mus musculus (house mouse). Lineage: Eukaryota; Metazoa; Chordata; Mammalia; Rodentia; Muridae. The record is from RNAcentral.